ACAAUGUUGCGCGCGCUGUACUAUUUGCAACAGUGAUUUCAGCAUUGCCCAUGACGGUGUAAGCACCUGUGACAAUGUUAGACAGGAAAUUGCAUGUUUUUGUUAGUGUUCUGUACGGACUACAUUUCCCAGAAUGCCAGGGCAAGAGUUGCCGCGUUUUGGACACAUAACAGUGGCCAAUCCUGCUCAUCCAUGUUGAUGGGUUGCAAAUAGGAUGUACAUGGACCAAUACGAAAGACGUGUUAAGGAACUGCGCGGCUAAGAGAGAGCGGGAGAACACGUUGGAGAAUCGUCGGAGUAGGACGUGAAGAGGGACGGAGCAGGAUUUGAGAGGAGACGGAGCAGGUUUCGGUUUCGCCCUUCGGGAAAAGGAAAAAAAGUGUCGCCCGGAGUGUUUUGCUGUUUUGCCCCGGUGCCGGAGACCAGGAGGUAUACGGCUGUAAGGGAGUUGUGGAAUAAAAAGUGCACCAACAACUGGGCCCCAACGCACCACACUGUGCAACAGGUUUUUCUUAUGGUUAUACUUUAAUUGCAUUGCAGAGAAAUGUAAAUGUAGGUUUACCGUUUAAGGGUACGCUGCUCUGUUUUUUUUUCCUCUUUACUUUAGUGGUCAUAUUGGAGCUGUUGUUUUCUUCCUUGCUGAAUAGGGCUCAAUAAAUAGCCCGGUUAUGUUUAA
Paramormyrops kingsleyae is the source of this 676-nucleotide non-coding RNA. The record is from RefSeq and is a predicted model, not a curated record. Lineage: Eukaryota; Metazoa; Chordata; Actinopteri; Osteoglossiformes; Mormyridae.